CGCGUAGGCGGUCGAUCGAGUCCAAGGUGAAAUCUUCCGGCUCAACCGGAAAACUGCUUUGGAUACUGGUCGUCUGGAGGGAGGAAGGGGCAGCUGGAACUUCCGGUGGAGCGGUGAAAUGCGUUGAUACCGGAAGGAACGCCGGUGGCGAAAGCGAGCUGCUGGGCCUCUACUGACGCUGAGGCGCGAAAGCCAGGGGAGCGAACGGGAUUAGAUACCCCGGUAGUCCUGGCCCUAAACGAUGGGUACUAGGUAGCGGACUUGACAUGGGUUCGCUGCUGAAACAAAAGCGUUAAGUACCCCGCCUGGGGAGUACGGUCGCAAGGCUGAA
Molecule: ribosomal RNA, 331 nt
Filed under: uncultured bacterium
Lineage: Bacteria
Description: bacterial SSU rRNA
Rfam family: Bacterial small subunit ribosomal RNA
Source: RNAcentral